Long non-coding RNA from Parus major (Great Tit), 1593 nucleotides. RefSeq lists it as uncharacterized. Lineage: Eukaryota; Metazoa; Chordata; Aves; Passeriformes; Paridae. The transcript is spliced from 2 exons. The record is from RefSeq and is a predicted model, not a curated record.
UGAAUUAACACAUGAAUCGAACACAUUGUGUCUGCUGAGCCCUUGUGAACCUCCCCUGCACCAGGGCCACAGCAAGUCUGUACCAGUGAACUUAAUCCAAUAUAUUUUGAUUUCUUGGUAUCUACCUUGCUAGCAAACCCUACCGUACAUAAGCGUGAGCCAACGCACAAUGUGUUUCCCUUUGUAUUUUGUUUUCAAAAAAAACGUCUAGAGACAGCACAGGCCAGUUCCCCAACAAUGUAAAGUUGAAGACUGCUGGCCAAAUAAAAACUUUUCUGAUGUCUCAUAAAAUCUUUGUAAAUGUGACAAUCAAGCCCUCAAGAAAAUUCACCUGGCGACAGCUGCAUUGAAACAAAGUUACUGCAGCAACAAGUAACGUCACAGUGUUAAUAAUUGACAUGGAAAGAAUGAAAAGGUGAGCAAGGGAUAAAGAGGACAAAGGAGAGAUUUCAGUAUAAACUUCUGCUGUGCAGUUGGUGGCCAGUCUCAGCUCAUGAUGUGUGAAGAUACACUGAAGUCCUGCCAUUACUCAAAGAUGGGAAUCCAGCUGUGCUCCACCUCUUGGGAAGGAAAGCACUAAUGCAAACCAGCUCUUAGUGACAUGUCAGUAGCUGCUCAAUGAAGAUGCCACCAAUAUGACUUUUUUUUUUCUUUUUAAUUUUUUAAAAAAAUAAUAAUAAAAAAAUCUUCCAGCAAAGAGUUAGUGAUACCUUAUGAAAUAGAAACAAUUAAAGAUGAACUGCAACUGUCAAAAUUAUGUCACAGGAGUCUUUGCAGUUCACUGGACUUAAUUACUUAGAGUCCAAAGCUGCUUCUAUUGACGUCAACACAAGUUGUCAGAGUAGGGGCAAGGGGUUUCUUUCUGGUCUAGCCACUAAUAAGUUGUUACUGUAGGCAAGAAUUAAUAAAUUUCUUUCCUACAAAGAUUAAUUAAUUUUUCAGACUUCAAGAAAAUGAUACUUCUACAGUCAAAAAAGCAUUAUUUAAUACUUGGGCUGUCUGCUGAGGCCUCACAGUGUGACACAAAUUUAAAAUACAACAUAUUAUAAAACUUAGCUUUCUUUUUAAUUUACUGCACUGUGGUAUUCUGAAAAAUUCUGAGAACUUUAUCCAGCAUCUAGGUGGUAUGUAACCUUUCACAAAAAGUCUUGCUUUAACAUCAACCAAACGGCAGCUUGAUUGCCAGUUUCUCUGGAAGGAAGCUGUUUUAUGUAAAACAAAAUUUGUAUCUCUCUUAGAUAAACUGCUAGGUCAGAGUCUGUAACCAACAAUGGUUUUUCAACCUUAGGCAAUUACUCCAUUGACAGGCUUAUAAGUUAAACUCUUUGCUUGUCCUACUCUCCUCAAAAAUUUUUAUUUUAUUGAUAUAUUAUUUUAAAGGAUCUUUUGUAACCUGCCUUGUAUUAUAUUUUGGAGAAUUAUGAUGAGGGAUAAUUGCUUCUUAGUAGCUAUAAAUAUAACUGUUAUUGUAAUUAUAUCAUUUAGGUUGAAAUAUUUGUGCUACAUUGAAACGAACUUUUUGUACCUACAAUAAAAUUCAAAACUCAGAAAAAAGCUCACAGUAAAUAAAUAUUGAUUGACAAAUUCAAAGUA